Molecule: ribosomal RNA, 1425 nt
Filed under: Lactiplantibacillus plantarum
Lineage: Bacteria; Bacillati; Bacillota; Bacilli; Lactobacillales; Lactobacillaceae
Description: bacterial SSU rRNA
Rfam family: Bacterial small subunit ribosomal RNA
Source: RNAcentral
CGAACGAACUCUGGUAUUGAUUGGUGCUUGCAUCAUGAUUUACAUUUGAGUGAGUGGCGAACUGGUGAGUAACACGUGGGAAACCUGCCCAGAAGCGGGGGAUAACACCUGGAAACAGAUGCUAAUACCGCAUAACAACUUGGACCGCAUGGUCCGAGCUUGAAAGAUGGCUUCGGCUAUCACUUUUGGAUGGUCCCGCGGCGUAUUAGCUAGAUGGUGGGGUAACGGCUCACCAUGGCAAUGAUACGUAGCCGACCUGAGAGGGUAAUCGGCCACAUUGGGACUGAGACACGGCCCAAACUCCUACGGGAGGCAGCAGUAGGGAAUCUUCCACAAUGGACGAAAGUCUGAUGGAGCAACGCCGCGUGAGUGAAGAAGGGUUUCGGCUCGUAAAACUCUGUUGUUAAAGAAGAACAUAUCUGAGAGUAACUGUUCAGGUAUUGACGGUAUUUAACCAGAAAGCCACGGCUAACUACGUGCCAGCAGCCGCGGUAAUACGUAGGUGGCAAGCGUUGUCCGGAUUUAUUGGGCGUAAAGCGAGCGCAGGCGGUUUUUUAAGUCUGAUGUGAAAGCCUUCGGCUCAACCGAAGAAGUGCAUCGGAAACUGGGAAACUUGAGUGCAGAAGAGGACAGUGGAACUCCAUGUGUAGCGGUGAAAUGCGUAGAUAUAUGGAAGAACACCAGUGGCGAAGGCGGCUGUCUGGUCUGUAACUGACGCUGAGGCUCGAAAGUAUGGGUAGCAAACAGGAUUAGAUACCCUGGUAGUCCAUACCGUAAACGAUGAAUGCUAAGUGUUGGAGGGUUUCCGCCCUUCAGUGCUGCAGCUAACGCAUUAAGCAUUCCGCCUGGGGAGUACGGCCGCAAGGCUGAAACUCAAAGGAAUUGACGGGGGCCCGCACAAGCGGUGGAGCAUGUGGUUUAAUUCGAAGCUACGCGAAGAACCUUACCAGGUCUUGACAUACUAUGCAAAUCUAAGAGAUUAGACGUUCCCUUCGGGGACAUGGAUACAGGUGGUGCAUGGUUGUCGUCAGCUCGUGUCGUGAGAUGUUGGGUUAAGUCCCGCAACGAGCGCAACCCUUAUUAUCAGUUGCCAGCAUUAAGUUGGGCACUCUGGUGAGACUGCCGGUGACAAACCGGAGGAAGGUGGGGAUGACGUCAAAUCAUCAUGCCCCUUAUGACCUGGGCUACACACGUGCUACAAUGGAUGGUACAACGAGUUGCGAACUCGCGAGAGUAAGCUAAUCUCUUAAAGCCAUUCUCAGUUCGGAUUGUAGGCUGCAACUCGCCUACAUGAAGUCGGAAUCGCUAGUAAUCGCGGAUCAGCAUGCCGCGGUGAAUACGUUCCCGGGCCUUGUACACACCGCCCGUCACACCAUGAGAGUUUGUAACACCCAAAGUCGGUGGGGUAACCUUUUAGGAACCAGC